AUUGAACGCUGGCGGCAUGCCUUACACAUGCAAGUCGAACGGCAGCGGACCUUCGGGUGCCGGCGAGUGGCGAACGGGUGAGUAAUGCAUCGGAACGUGCCAUUGAGUGGGGGAUAACGUAGCGAAAGUUGCGCUAAUACCGCAUAUUCUGUGAGCAGGAAAGCAGGGGGACCGCAAGGCCUUGCGCUCUUUGAGCGGCCGAUGUCAGAUUAGCUAGUUGGUGAGGUAACGGCUUACCAAGGCGACGAUCUGUAGCGGGUCUGAGAGGAUGAUCCGCCACACUGGAACUGAGACACGGUCCAGACUCCUACGGGAGGCAGCAGUGGGGAAUUUUGGGACAAUGGGGGCAACCCUGAUCCAGCCAUGCCGCGUGAGUGAAGAAGGCCUCGGUUGUAAG
This 397-nucleotide ribosomal RNA is filed under the name uncultured bacterium. RNAcentral's name for it is "bacterial SSU rRNA". It matches the Rfam family "Bacterial small subunit ribosomal RNA", at positions 30 to 429 of the family's 1533-position model. The record is from RNAcentral.